RNAcentral lists this ribosomal RNA (468 nucleotides) under uncultured bacterium. RNAcentral's name for it is "partial 16S ribosomal RNA". It matches the Rfam family "Bacterial small subunit ribosomal RNA", at positions 28 to 507 of the family's 1533-position model. The record is from RNAcentral.
GACGAACGCUGGCGGCGUGCUUAACACAUGCAAGUCGAACGGCAAGGCCCUGCUUUUGUGGGGUGCUCGAGUGGCGAACGGGUGCGAAACACGUGAGUAACCUGCCCUUGACUUUGGGAUAACUUCAGGAAACUGGGGCUACUACCGGAUAGGAGCUCCUGCUGCAUGGUGGGGGUUGGAACGUUUCGGCGGUUGGGGAUGGACUCGCGGCUUAUCAGCUUGUUGGUGGGGUAGUGGCUUACCAAGGCUUUGACGGGUAGCCGGCCUGAGAGGGUGACCGGCCACAUUGGGACUGAGGUACGGCCCAGACUCCUACGGGAGGCAGCAGUGGGGAAUAUUGCACAAUGGGCGGAAGCCGGAUGCAGCAACGCCGCGUGCGGGAUGACGGCCUUCGGGUUGUAAACCGCUUUCGCCUGUGACGAAGCGUGAGUGACGGUAAUGGGUAAAGAAGCACCGGCUAACUACGUG